GCCACAGUUAAUUGCUAAUUAUUGAUAGUUUCAUGUCUUACAUGGUAGUUUGUUCUCCAUAUAGCAUUAUUUUAUAUUGUAUAAUCACAAACUUUUUGCUGGAUGUAGGUUGGAUUUUCUGUUAACGGAGUAAUAAUACUAACUUUUAUGUGGGUUUUGAAGGCAUUCCUUGAGGUAAUACCUUUUCUUUUCACAUGAAUGGUUACCAUUUUUGGUGCCAUUCUUGAAGUAAAUUUCACUGUGAAUGUUUUGCAAUGUCCUGCACUUGCCUAACUCACUAGUUUGAUUGGAAUACAAUAUUAAGGGGUGCUGGUUUUCUAUGGAAUUAAUACACCAUGACAAACAGUAAAAGUAAUUUCAGAGAUCUAGAACAAGAAAGUUGUUAUUUGCUUUUAAAUGGCAAAAAACAUUCUAGUUAUGUUGGUACACAUUGCUCCUACUUGACACCUUAUAUCAUGAUCAACAUUACUUUGGUUAUCAUACUUGACACCUUGUAUCCUCUGUGGUGCAUUAGUUUGGAUUAUUUUUGGUUUAGUUUAGUUUAGUUUAUUUGAAUUUUUAGCUAAGCAAGUGAACUGAAGUUGCUUUUCCUUUAGCGUUGUGCUUAUCGUCUUAUCAACUGGUUAUAUUGUUCAUAGCAGUACUUAUAUCAGUACUUGUUAUAGUAGUGCUUGUUGCCUUAUCAACUUGUUAUAUUAUUCCUUUGAGGCUGAAGUUUAAUAGCAGUACUUAUUUCUUGAGCUAAUUUGGUGCAUUAGUUUGGGGCUGAUUUUGAUUUUCUUUGGGGCUGAUUUUGAAUGUCCAGCUUUAAUUAAUGAGGUUCUUAUUGGAUUGCAAAUUUUAGCUAAGCAACCGAACUACAAGAGAUAUAGUGAAAUUGGGAAAUGGCAAGGUUUAGUGAAAUUUUGUCUGAUGUUAAAAAUUCCCCCUUGUGUUGAAAUUUGGUAUUUUUUUUUCACGACAAAACCGCCUAGCAAAUUGUCACACUUAAAAGACAGUAUCUUUGAUUGGAACAAAACAAUGACUAAAUUCGUUUAUAUUAUUCCAAUCUUGCUUGCCACAUCCAAAGCAUCGUAGUCUGGAGUCAACCGAACAUAUGCUUUCUUUGUUCCAUCAGGCCUGAUCAAAGUGUUCACUUUCUUGGUCUGUAUGUCGUACAUCUUCUUCACUGCAUCUUUGAUUUUCUUCUUAUCAACACGGAUGUCAACUAUGAAUACCAUGGUAUUGUUAUCUUCAAUCUUUUUCAUGGCAGAUUCAGUAGUCAAAGGAUAUUUGAGAAUCUGAUAAUGGUCCAACUUAUUCCGAGGAGGAGCACUGAUGUGUGGGUACUUCGGGUUCCCGUCCUUUUUCAAUGUCUUAGGACGAUGGAAGGUAACUUUGGUCCGGAUCUUCUUGGCUUUCUUCUUAAAAGUUGUCCCAGAUUUGACAAAUUUGGCAACCUUGGCUGCCUGAGCCUUUGUAUCAAGCUUUUUUGUGGUGUCAGCUUUAGGAGCCAUUGCUGGAAACUGCCUUACAAAUCUUUUACCUGAGGGGAGGAGCCGAGUGUUGAGGGGAGGAGCUGAGUGUUGCUGAAGCGGCUCUG
RNAcentral lists this long non-coding RNA (1582 nucleotides) under Coffea arabica (coffee). Its description in RNAcentral is "long non-coding RNA (CARA_LNC006571)". Lineage: Eukaryota; Viridiplantae; Streptophyta; Magnoliopsida; Gentianales; Rubiaceae. The record is from RNAcentral.